Molecule: ribosomal RNA, 253 nt
Filed under: uncultured bacterium
Lineage: Bacteria
Description: partial 16S ribosomal RNA
Rfam family: Bacterial small subunit ribosomal RNA
Source: RNAcentral
UACAGAGGGGGCAAGCGUUGUUCGGAAUUACUGGGCGUAAAGGGCGCGUAGGCGGUCCGCCAAGUCCGGGGUGAAAUCUUUCGGCUUAACCGGAAAAUUGCCUCGGAUACUGGCGGUCUAGAAGAGGGUAGGGGCCGCGGGAACUUCCAGUGGAGCGGUGAAAUGCGUUGAUAUUGGAAGGAACGCCGGUGGCGAAAGCGCGCGGCUGGACCCUCCUUGACGCUGAGGCGCGAAAGCUAGGGUAGCGAACGGG